This 468-nucleotide ribosomal RNA is filed under the name uncultured bacterium. RNAcentral describes it as "partial 16S ribosomal RNA". It matches the Rfam family "Bacterial small subunit ribosomal RNA", at positions 28 to 507 of the family's 1533-position model. The record is from RNAcentral.
GACGAGCGCUGGCGGCGUGCUUAACACAUGCAAGUCAAACGGAAAGGCCCUGCUUUUGUGGGGUGCUCGAGUGGCGAACGGGUGAGUAACACGUGAGUAACCUGCCCUUGACUUUGGGAUAACUUCAGGAAACUGGGGCUAAUACCGGAUAGGAGCUCCUGCUGCAUGGUGGGGGUUGGAAAGUUUCGGCGGUUGGGGAUGGACUCGCGGCUUAUCAGCUUGUUGGUGGGGUAGUGGCUUACCAAGGCUUUGACGGGUAGCCGGCCUGAGAGGGUGACCGGCCACAUUGGGACUGAGAUACGGCCCAGACUCCUACGGGAGGCAGCAGUGGGGAAUAUUGCACAAUGGGCGGAAGCCUGAUGCAGCAACGCCGCGUGCGGGAUGACGGCCUUCGGGUUGUAAACCGCUUUCGCCUGUGACGAAGCGUGAGUGACGGUAAUGGGUAAAGAAGCACCGGCUAACUACGUG